GCGGACGUGGCGGAACGGCAGACGCUGCGGUCUUAAACACCGCUGGGGCGACCCGUGCGGGUUCGAAUCCCGCCGUCCGCA
This 81-nucleotide transfer RNA is filed under the name Chloroflexota bacterium. Its description in RNAcentral is "tRNA-Leu". It matches the Rfam family "tRNA". From Rfam's summary of the family: Transfer RNA (tRNA) molecules are approximately 80 nucleotides in length. Their secondary structure includes four short double-helical elements and three loops (D, anti-codon, and T loops). Lineage: Bacteria; Bacillati; Chloroflexota. The record is from RNAcentral.